UCAAGAUGACAGACUUAAUUUCCCAGCUACCAGAAGCACUGCCAGCAGCUUCCUCCAGGGAUGACCUCAAUGAAGAAGACUGCCCUGCCAAAGGUCACAUCCUUUGACCAAUGAUGUGGGAGUCUAAAGGCCUGAUCCUCUCUGCCUAACUUGGGAUAUCUUCCAAAUGCCCUAUAAGACCUCAGACACAGAGCUGAAGAAUCAGGAACUCAGAAAUGGUGACCAGAACACAUGAAAACCCAGGCACAAAAGCCUGCUUUCUCUAGCCACAGAACCAAGAAAAGUGCAGUCUAGCCAAGGAGAAACCUUUAAACAAUAAACACUCAACUCUGGCCAAAUACCAGAGAAAUACCUGUGGCCCCAUGCCCCCACUCAACAAAGAAGGCCAAGCGGGAAGCCUAGACCUCCACCCUCAUCUGCAAAUGGGAGAGGUGGACAGAAUUUCCAGGUCCCUUCAGCUGAUAGUGCCACAGAGAAUUCAUGAAGAUUUCACAUUGGUGGGUGUGAUCUUUAUCAUCAAAGAGAAAGAUGGAUUUUCUUUAAUAACAUUAAACACAGGGUGAGUCUUUCUCGUGAAUUGCUGUUAUUAAUCCCAGGCAGACAGGAGCAGGAACAAAAUGGAUACGGUGCCUCCCGUUCCUGCUGGAAGCAGAGGUGGUGCAGAGACCACAGGCCCCACCCCCACCUUACUUUCAUGGACUUCUCUUUGAAACUACAAUGGUUUCCGGGCUCUUUAUCUAAUUAAAAAGGUCCAAUCAAUA
Molecule: long non-coding RNA, 761 nt
Organism: Canis lupus familiaris (dog)
Lineage: Eukaryota; Metazoa; Chordata; Mammalia; Carnivora; Canidae
Exons: 2
Source: RefSeq, a predicted model, not a curated record